This is a long non-coding RNA of Manis pentadactyla (Chinese pangolin), 1152 nucleotides long. RefSeq lists it as uncharacterized. The record is from RefSeq and is a predicted model, not a curated record. The transcript is spliced from 3 exons. NCBI's taxonomy places the organism in Eukaryota, Metazoa, Chordata, Mammalia, Pholidota, Manidae.
CUCAUUCCUCUCACUUUAUUUCUAAAUAAAAGCCUGUACUUUGCUCUCCUACCUUGAGUGUUUGUGAAGCUCAUUCUUUGGCUUUGUGAACAAGAACCCCGGCAUCAUCUUUGGGGGCUCGUCCAGGAUUACCUCAGAGAGCCUCUCCUUGGAUGCGAGGGACUGAGGAAGGCCAUGGGCACCUGCGAGAAUCUAGGCUGAGGCUGCACUUCAGUGGCUUCUCAAAGGCCCACGUGUCUGCAAUCAGGCCCCGACAGCCCGACUGGGUAUCCAUGAGGAGUGUCUCUCUGUCUCUGUCUCUGACUUCCAGCGUGCUUCUUCAGGCUGCCCUGGCCUCUGGGUGAGGCAGGGGGCGUUCCUAACUCUCUUCCAACUUCAUCAGUUUCACGGAACCUGAUGCUCACCACCGCAAGAAGCCACAAAAAUGCCGAUAGUAAUAGAAAUGGAACCUGGAAUAGAAGUGCCCAUCUUCCGAGAGCCUCUCAACUGACCACUGAUGGAGACCUAACUGCACCCUUUACUGCACCCCUUCUCAGCAUGAAGCAGCCAGAGUGGUCUUCGCCCCCUUUCCCUAGCAGCAGCUAGGAUCUCUAUCUGUAGAGGGGGAAAUGAGACAGGGACCAUGGGCUUAGACAGAGUAGGGUGAAGGCCUCUGGAAAAGCAAGACAAGAUAUUUACAGUCAAAGCAAUGUAACAAUAUAAAGUCCCUAUCGAAAUUCUGUGUUCAGCAUUAUGCAAAGUCAAGGUCACCCUAAUUCUCUAGGGUAAAGAUAGCAGACUAGGAAUAUAGACAUCUUCAGUGAGAUCAGUUAAAGAACAAAAGGCCAGGAGCAACUUGGCCUGGAACGUUUGAGUGUUCCGCAAGGGUAUCUCAGCAUAACGCAUGACUUCACUGUAACCAGCUCUAGCAAACAGACAACAACCCAGCCCACCUUGAGGGCAGGGCAGGUGGUACAAGUCCACACCUGAAGCCCUCAAUUCCCCAAAAUCCUCAACUGCCUAUAAAUCCCCUAGACAAUGCACCACCCUGGGCUUUCUUGUCCCCUACUGGCAUGAGCCAGGAGCUCUUUCCUCUCACUUUAUUUCUAAAUAAAAGCCUGUACCUUGCUCUCCUACCUUGAGUGUCUGUGAAGCUCAUUCUUCAGCUUCGUG